Molecule: RNA transcript, 3971 nt
Organism: Rosa chinensis
Lineage: Eukaryota; Viridiplantae; Streptophyta; Magnoliopsida; Rosales; Rosaceae
Exons: 3
Source: RefSeq, a predicted model, not a curated record
UCAAAUAAAAUUCUCUCUCUCUCUCUCUCUCUCUCUCACUCUCCUGCAGACUCUGCAGUAGUCUCUGCACUAUAUCUAUGUCUCCAGUUCCUCCCUCAUUUCUGUUCUUCCACAUUCUCCUGAGCCUAACUCAGAGAAUCCAAUCUCACACCCUUAAACCCUUCCAAAGCUCCAAUCUUUUUUUUGUCAACUCAUGGACCUCUACUUAAACCCAAAACCCACCUCGCCGGCGGCGACAUUCUCCCGCUGAGUCCCCCAAAACCCACCACCAUGAUAGACCAACCUCACCAACCCAAUACCAAACCCACUUGUUUCACUCCGUUGUAACAAAGACCCAUCAUUUUCUUCACUCAAAUUCCCACUCUUUUUUUUUCUUCCUCGUCUCCAAUGGCCUCCACGAACUCAAACCCAUCCGACCCACCUCUCUCGCCCGACGACCUCGCCGCCCGGGCUCUGAACAAACGCUACGAGGGUCUGGUCACCGUCCGAACCAAGGCCAUAAAGGGCAAAGGAGCUUGGUACUGGACUCAUUUGGAGCCGGUGAUGGUUCGCAACCCAAACACCAACGUCCCCAAAGCUGUGAAGCUCAAGUGUCUUCUCUGCGACGCCGUUUUCUCGGCCUCGAACCCCUCCAGAACCGCCUCCGAGCACCUCAAGCGCGGCACGUGCCCGAAUUUCACCUCCGUGUUGAGACCCAACUCGUCGGCGUCGCUGUCGCCGCAGCCCAUAUCGUCUCUGCCGUCGCCGUCUUCCCACAAUCACAGAAAACGAAGCUCACAAAUGGGUACUCUUCUCUCUCCUCUUUCUCAAGCUCCUCCCACCUCUGCUUCGAUUCAAGUACAUUCCUUGGCUAUGAUUGAGUCGUCCCCCGGCUUUUGCGGCGGAGAGCUUGGUUAUUCGCAGGGUCCGAACCCGAACCCGGGCCCGGGCCCGAAUCCUGUCGGGUUGAGUCAGCACCAGCACCACCAUUUGGUGUUGUCGGGUGGGAAAGACGAUUUGGGUGCUUUGGCAAUGUUGGAAAACAGUGUCAAAAAGCUUAAAAGCCCCAAGCCUUCUUCCGCUAAUGUUUCACUUACUAAGGAGCAGGUUGAUUCUGCACUUGACUUGUUGUCUGAGUGGUUCUAUGAGUCUUGUGGGUCUGUCUCGUUUUCGAGCCUCGAGCAUCCCAAGUUCAAGGCCUUUCUCGGCCAGGUGGGCUUGCCUGCUGUGUUGCAGCGUGAGCUUUCGGGUGCUCGGCUUGAUGCUAAGUUUGCUGAGGCUAAAGCCGAGUCUGAGGCUAGGAUAAGGGAUGCAAUGUUUUUUCAAGUGGCUUCAGAUGGUUGGGAAUGUAAUAAUUUUUGCGGUGGGGAGGAGAGUAUGGUUAAGUUUAUGGUUAAUCUCCCGAAUGGGAGCAGUGUUUUUCAGAAGGCUGUGUUUACUGGAGGGUCAGUUUCGUCGAAAUAUGCUGAGGAGGUAAUGUGGGAUGCGGUUAGUGGCGUGUGUGGGAAUGCUGUGCAGCGUUGCGUGGGGGUUGUUGCUGACAAGUAUAAAGCCAAGGCAUUGAGGAACUUGGAGAGUCAGAAUCAUUGGAUGGUGAAUGUUUCCUGUCAGCUACAGGGGUUUGUUUCUUUGAUCAAGGAUUUUAACAAAGAGCAUAAGUUGUGUAUGGUUGUUACUGAUAAUUGCGUGAAGGUUGCAAAUUUUGUAAAUACCACCACCGAGGUUAGGCGGAUUUUUCAGAAGUACAAGAUGCAGGAGCUUGGCUAUGGUGGGCUGCUCCAAGUUUCUUCUUCCAAAUGCGAUAAUUCAAAAAACUAUGCGCCUGUUUAUGCAAUGCUGGAGGAUAUGUUGACCUGUUCCCGCAUACUCCAAAUGGUUGUCUUGGAUGAUUGCUAUAAGGUGGCAUGUGUGGAGGAUCCAAGUGCUAGGGAAGUUGCAGCGCUGAUUCAAAGUGAAGGAUUCUGGAAUGAACUAGAGGCAGUUUAUUCACUUAUGAAGCUGAUAAGAGGGAUGGCUCAGGAGAUUGAAGCUGAGAGGCCAUUAAUUGGGCAAUGCCUGCCUCUUUGGGAAGAGUUGCGAACAAAAGUAAAGGAUUGGUGUGCCAAGUUUAACAUUGAUGAAGGACCUGUUGAGAAAAUAGUUGAAAAACGCUUCGCAAAGAAUUACCACCCAGCAUGGUCGGCUGCAUUCAUACUUGAUCCACAAUACCUGAUGAAGGAUGCUAGUGGAAAGUACCUUCCACCAUUCAAGUGCUUGACGCAUGAGCAGGAGAAGGAUGUAGAUAAGCUCAUUACCAGAUUGGUAUCCAGGGAAGAAGCGCAUGUUGCACUAAUGGAACUCAUGAAAUGGAGGACAGAAGGAAUGGACCCACUUUAUGCUCAGGCAGUUCAAGUUAAACAGCAAGAUCCUGUUACUGGAAAAAUGAAAAUUGCAAACCCGCAGAGCAGUAGACUUGUGUGGGAAACUUGUCUAAGCAAGUUAAACAUACUGGGGAAGGUUGCAGUGAGACUUAUCUUCCUCCAUGCAACCUCAUUUGGAUUCAAGUGUAAUUGGUCUUUCAUGAAAUGGAUUUGUGUACAUAGGCACUCAAGGAUAGGCCUGGAAAGGGCAGAGAAGAUGAUAUUCAUUGCAGCUCAUGCGAAGCUUGAAAGAAGGGAUCUUUCUAACGACGAAGAAAGGGAAGCAGAGCUGUUUGCGACUGCGAGUGUUGAUGAGGACAUGCUGAAUGAGGUCCUUUCCGAUGCACCCACAGUACUAGGGUUGCUUGAAUCGGUUGGGUGGAUGGCAAACCAGGCUUGAGAGUGAUCACAUGGGUCAACCUCGUAAGAAUUUGAGAGCGAAUCUUUGUAGCCAAAGACCCUCAGUGAUUAAUCUAGGCAUAUAUGUUGGCAUAUCAGUUUAUGUAAUUGAAGAACCCCACCAUGAGAAGUGGGUGUCCAUCUCAGUGCUUUACUUGUCAUGGUCAACGAAAAAGUUGAGGUAUAAGGGCCCUUAUUUCCCAUCACUCUCCUCUCUAUCUCUCUCACUGUAUGUCUCUUUCUGUGUUUUUGUUUUUCUUUCUACGUGCAUUUAGUGAUAUGUUUUGAAUUUUUAACUUAGCUCAUUUCCAUCAUCUCUGAUAAAUUGUCAUUUAAACAUUCAAAAUCUUGUACUUUUAAUCUCCAACUGGGCCAUGUUACAGAUUACAUAUCUAACAUUGAAGAUUUAAGUUUUGCGCGGUUAUCAGUUAGGCCAGCCAUGAUUGCUAAAAAGUCUUGAGCACAAUGGAAGCAAAGAUGGUUGUCUCCAUGAGGAGGUGCAUAAGAUAACAGAAAGGGAUUUUGCAACGAACUUGAACUGAAUUUUCAAGCUAAUUUCUGCAAUUAAUGUUGACUUAAUAAGAGGCUGGGAUCUGACAAUGGCUGUGAGUGUAUAUUUCAUUCCUGAUUUAAAUGAUGAGAAAGAGCCUGGUUAUAGUAAUAACUUUAUGUUGACAGAACAUUUAAGUGCGUGCAACUGUGCAUGUUCCACCUUGUUUUGCAGAACUCUGUAUAUUGGAUUCAGGCAAGUCUUGACACUAGCAGGUGCUACAUUCGAGUUUCAUUACUCAUGUUUCCAAAUCAUGAGAAGGAAUAAUUGUAUACGUAUUCUGAUACAGCAAAGAGUUGAGACAUAGGAGAUAAGGACGUAUACCAAAAAGGCAUUGUGAGGUCCCUGGUUGGACAUAAUUUUAACACCUUAAAACAGGGAACUAGUACUCCAGGUUGUGGAGGACCAUUGCAGUUUAUGAUGCUGCACCAAACUGUACCUCGAUCAUUUUCUCUUGCUGUAGAAACCCAAUAAGGAAGUUUGGCUAAGUAUCAAACUGUGAAAAUUACUAACAGGGCAUUGAAUGAAAUAAGUUUUCACUUUCUUUCUGAGUGUAAUUAUUUGAGUACGUUAAUUUCUGUGUUCUUUACCCUCGAUUUUCUUUUGCUGCUAAAUAUUGGUGGAAAAAUAGCGGAUCCUGUCGG